UGAACGCUAGCGGCAGGCUUAACACAUGCAAGUCGAGGGGUAACAGGAUCUUCGGAUCGCUGACGACCGGCGCACGGGUGCGUAACGCGUAUGCAACCUACCUUUAACUGGAGGAUAGCCCCGAGAAAUCGGGAUUAAUACUCCAUAGUAUUCCCAAGUGGCAUCACUCAGGAAUUAAAGCUCCGGCGGUUAAAGAUGGGCAUGCGUGACAUUAGUUUGUUGGUGAGGUAACGGCUCACCAAGACUACGAUGUCUAGGGGUUCUGAGAGGAUGAUCCCCCACACUGGUACUGAGACACGGACCAGACUCCUACGGGAGGCAGCAGUGAGGAAUAUUGGUCAAUGGACGAAAGUCUGAACCAGCCAUGCCGCGUGCAGGAUGACGGCCCUAUGGGUUGUAAACUGCUUUUAUUAAGGAAUAAACCCCCGAACGUGUUCGGGGCUGAACGUACUUAAAGAAUAAGCAUCGGCUAACUCC
This 477-nucleotide ribosomal RNA is filed under the name uncultured bacterium. Its description in RNAcentral is "bacterial SSU rRNA". It matches the Rfam family "Bacterial small subunit ribosomal RNA", at positions 30 to 504 of the family's 1533-position model. The record is from RNAcentral.